GAACGGGUGAGUAACACGUGGGCAAUCUGCCCUUCACUCUGGGACAAGCCCUGGAAACGGGGUCUAAUACCGGAUACGACACGGGGUCGCAUGACCUCCGUGUGGAAAGCUCCGGCGGUGAAGGAUGAGCCCGCGGCCUAUCAGCUUGUUGGUGGGGUGAUGGCCUACCAAGGCGACGACGGGUAGCCGGCCUGAGAGGGCGACCGGCCACACUGGGACUGAGACACGGCCCAGACUCCUACGGGAGGCAGCAGUGGGGAAUAUUGCACAAUGGGCGAAAGCCUGAUGCAGCGACGCCGCGUGAGGGAUGACGGCCUUCGGGUUGUAAACCUCUUUCAGCAGGGAAGAAGCGAAAGUGACGGUACCUGCAGAAGAAGCGCCGGCUAACUACGUGCCAGCAGCCGCGGUAAUACGUAGGGCGCAAGCGUUGUCCGGAAUUAUUGGGCGUAAAGAGCUCGUAGGCGGCUUGUCACGUCGGAUGUGAAAGCCCGGGGCUUAACCCCGGGUCUGCAUUCGAUACGGGCAGGCUAGAGUUCGGUAGGGGAGAUCGGAAUUCCUGGUGUAGCGGUGAAAUGCGCAGAUAUCAGGAGGAACACCGGUGGCGAAGGCGGAUCUCUGGGCCGAUACUGACNCUGAGGAGCGAAA
This 645-nucleotide ribosomal RNA is filed under the name Streptomyces sp. 5113_3. Its description in RNAcentral is "bacterial SSU rRNA". It matches the Rfam family "Bacterial small subunit ribosomal RNA", at positions 100 to 758 of the family's 1533-position model. Lineage: Bacteria; Bacillati; Actinomycetota; Actinomycetes; Kitasatosporales; Streptomycetaceae. The record is from RNAcentral.